GAAAAUAAUUAAAAGAAAAUUUUCGGAAAAGCCUUGCAGUUGCAGCGCCGCUCCUCACGUCUCCCACUAACACUGCUGAGUGCUGCCUGCUCUUUGACGACUCAACCUCGAAUGCCCGUUAUUUCUAAUUGUCCAUGUUGCCGUGAUCGUCAGUUGUCUCUCAUCUCCUCUCCUCUCCUCUCUUCUCUCAUGCUCAUUCAUAUAUUGUGUUGAUCUUUGAUUAUAGUUUAGUAUUGUCAAUUGUGCGAAUUUGAUUCGAUGUGGGUGGAUUUCGUUUGGGUCUGUUUAGGGCUCAAGAUCUAAUUUUGAUUUGGUUUUCUUUCUGGGUUUUUCAGAGUGUGAUUACACUGUUUCUAUGGCGUGGAAACCCAUCUUGAUCAAGCUCAAGGAUUUGCAGAAGGAUCCCCUACAUUUGACUCAUUUGAUGGUGAUGGCUGCUGGGGUCUAUAGCAAUUCGUUGGGUUAUCGGGUUUAUUGGUUUCAGUUUUCAAGUUACUCCUUUCUAUAAUUUUAUUCCUCCAAAUCUUCUUGAUUCAAUUAGGAUCAUGAUGCAUCAUGGUUUUAUUGAUGUGUUUUAGGUUUGGCUGGUGGAGGCUGCAGUCCGGAAUUAGAAUGGGCAGAGCUUCUGCUUUAUUGGUUUCCACUAUCUUGCUUUCAAACUUUUUUCUUUUACUUGCCUUUUUGGCUGCCUACUAUGAUCUAAGUUAUAUUGAUUUGUGGUGGUGAUGAUUUACAAUAGUUUUUGUUCCAGGCUUUAUUGGCUUCACCGUUUCAGUGAUCAACUCAUUCCUUCUCAUUUUAUAUUCUGCUUCCUUAUUUUGGGCCACGUCUUAGAUUUCAGUGGAUUAAGUUUCCAUUGCUCUGUUUUAUGCUGUUGGUUAUGGUUAGCUCCAUGUGCUGUGGCUUUUUUGGUUUCCAAGCUGAACUGUCUUCUUAUUUUCAUAGUAUUAUUAUUGGUGUAUUUUGGCUGAUAGUUUGGAUAGCUGCAACUGCUGGACAGGACUUAAAUUGUGUGUUUCAGCUUUAUUUGGUUUCGGCAAUCAACUUUUCCUUUCUUUAAUUAUUUAUGACUCCAAUCUGGGAAGAAAUUUUAAACUUAGCAUGCAGUCUUUGUUGAAGAUGAACUGGAACCUUGUGGUCCAUCUUGGUGAAGCUUAUUCUUAUGACUAAAAUUUGGAAAACAUAUUGCUAUGGAAAGCUUCUAUUGGAACCGAAGAGUAGCCUCUUAAAUGAAGAAGUAUAUGAAUUGUAAUUAAAAGUGAAAAGUUAUUCAGACCAUACAGUAAAUAUCUUGGCGAAUAUGGGUAGAGCCGUAGAGGUCAUGAAGGGCAGAGCAAUUCAUUGUUUGGUCUAUGAUCCUAGAGGCAGAGAUCUCUUCUGCUGAGCUGACAAGUACAAUGGAAAAGCUUUUGAGGAACAUAGAGCAGAUUGAGGGUCAAGUUGCUACUGUCCAAGGCUAUACUGUAUAUAAUUAUGGUGAUGGAUGAUGAUAUGCCUGAGGAUAAGGACGAGGAAGAACACGAAGAUGAGGAAGUAGUUUAUGAGGCCACAAUUUUAAUAUUUUGAUUUGGUAGUAUCUUUUAGUGAACAUGUUUAUGUUGUUGUCUAUUUAGUACAUUGAUGUUGGAUAUUGGUUAAUCAAUGCUACAUCUCCAUAUAUUUUUUCUUGGAAUAAAAGUGAGCGCUUCAAUUUGACUAU
Molecule: long non-coding RNA, 1699 nt
Organism: Rosa chinensis
Lineage: Eukaryota; Viridiplantae; Streptophyta; Magnoliopsida; Rosales; Rosaceae
Exons: 3
Source: RefSeq, a predicted model, not a curated record